UACUCGAGUGGCGAACGGGUGAGUAACACGUGGGUGAUCUGCCCUGCACUUCGGGAUAAGCUUGGGAAACUGGGUCUAAUACCGGAUAGGAGCCAUUUUUAGUGUGAUGGUUGGAAAGUUUUUUCGGUGUAGGAUGAGCUCGCGGCCUAUCAGCUUGUUGGUGGGGUAAUGGCCUACCAAGGCGGCGACGGGUAGCCGGCCUGAGAGGGUGGACGGCCACAUUGGGACUGAGAUACGGCCCAG
This 243-nucleotide ribosomal RNA is filed under the name uncultured Actinomycetales bacterium. RNAcentral describes it as "partial 16S ribosomal RNA". It matches the Rfam family "Bacterial small subunit ribosomal RNA", at positions 88 to 334 of the family's 1533-position model. The record is from RNAcentral. Lineage: Bacteria; Bacillati; Actinomycetota; Actinomycetes; Actinomycetales.